Molecule: long non-coding RNA, 741 nt
Organism: Bufo gargarizans (Asiatic toad)
Lineage: Eukaryota; Metazoa; Chordata; Amphibia; Anura; Bufonidae
Exons: 2
Source: RefSeq, a predicted model, not a curated record
CUUUGUCAUCUUGUAGAGAGCCAGGCUGAGCCAUAUAGAUUCAACCCCGUUAUUAGAAGCUGGGGAAAAAAAAAAAAAGGAUGAAGACCUGGUUAUACCAUUGCUACCUCUGACAGCUAAGGAACCAGUUUGGCGUCUGGUUUGUGUGUUGUUUUACUGCUGACCUUCAAAUCAACUUUAACCCUUGACUUCUUCAAGCAUAUAUCAUGACAAGAGCCUGUUUAACACAAAUGGUGCCCAAUCGAAAGGGGAAAGAGAGUGAAGAUUUCCUUUUUUUUUAUGAAGAAUUCGGUUUUAGCCCCUCUUUUCUCAUUCACCACAGGUGAAAUCCUUCCUAGCAGCUGGCUUAUGAAAUAUUGUGAUGGGAGGUCUUAAUAAGCUGAAAGCACCCUCAGCUGGAGACAAAUGUAUGCAAAUGAGAUGCACAAACAAAGGAGCUUGGACAGAGAAAUAUCUGCAAUUCCAGCUAAAUGCUGCCUGCAGCAGGAAGAUGAACAGCUUUGAUAAAAUGGUAUCAAUGGCCUUCUGGAAAUGUACUGCGAGACAAUAAAGUAGCACAGAGAAGUGUAAGCUGCUUGUGCUGUAGGUUUUGACGGUGUCACCUGUUUGUGGGAGGAUUAUUACACCAUUAGACAUGUGGUUGGAUAGUAAUGUUAAAAUGUAGCUGGCACCUUAUUAUUUUUCAUCAUGUUUAUAUACAUUAAAAGGAGUAGUAUCAAAUACAGCAAAGAAGUACAGAAA